This 491-nucleotide ribosomal RNA is filed under the name uncultured bacterium. Its description in RNAcentral is "partial 16S ribosomal RNA". It matches the Rfam family "Bacterial small subunit ribosomal RNA", at positions 28 to 507 of the family's 1533-position model. The record is from RNAcentral.
GAUGAACGCUGGCUACAGGCUUAACACAUGCAAGUCGAGGGGAAACGCCGUGGAAGCUUGCUUUUUCGGGCGCCGAGCGGCGCACGGGUGAGUAAAACGUAUCCAACCUCUCUCUGACUGAGGGAUAACACGUCGAAAGUGUGCGAAUAACGCCCAGUCACCUCCUGCGGACGCAUAACGACGGGUAAAGAUUUCUUCGGGUAGGGGCGGGGAUGCGGUUGAUUAGCUUGUUGGCGGGGUAACGGCCCACCAAGGGCACGAUCAGUAGGGGUUCUGAGAGGAAGGUCCCCCACAUUGGAACUGAGACACGGUCCAAACUCCUACGGGAGGCAGCAGUGAGGAAUAUUGGUCAAUGGGCGGGAGCCUGAACCAGCCAAGUAGCGUGCAGGAUGACGGCCCUAUGGGUUGUAAACUGCUUUUAUACGGGAAUAAAGUGGGGGACGGGUGCUUUAUUGCAGGUACCGAAUGAAUAAGGACCGGCUAAUUCCGUG